AUUGGCCGUCAGUGAGGGUUGGCACUUCCACUGUCAGCUCGUGGGUUGAUGACUACCUUAUCCAUGUUUUUGUCUGUAAACGUGUUCCUUUUUUUCUCUUUUCUUUUUUGUUUUGCAAGACGAUGGAGUGAGAUUCUUUUUUUUAGGCUACAGGGUUGCAGUUAGAACGAUGGUCGCUUUUGAUUGUUUGUUGGAAUUGAAUUUAGGGUUAUGGUUGGGUGUGUCAUGCACCACUUUAGUUCUAACAUGGUGGACAUAUGGAUGGUAAGAUGAUUUUGCUCUACUUUUUGUUUUUUGUUUCUUGGAGUCUUCUGAGUAAUUACUGGGUGUUCUAGAUUUUCUUUUUGGCUAGGUGUUUGGUGGCUGUGUGACUCUUGCUGAUAGAAUUAGGAUUAAAUGGAAUCAUACAACAAAGGCUUUUCGGUACAUGGUAUUGUUUAGGGGUAUCUCACAGAAGUUGUUGAUGUAGUGGGAUGUUUUUUGGCUGGCUGGCAAUGACAACAUGGUUCGGUGAAGGUGGAGAUGGCAAUGUGGAUGUGACAGUGUGUUAAAAAUGGUGAUGAAGCUUUGCUCGAUUUUUCUUUGUGUUUCUUGUGGCUUUCGGUGUGUGGCUUUGGGGUUUGAUUGUGGGUUGAUGGUAGACUGGGGCUGGAUAACUAUGCAAAGAGUAUUCUACUGGCAAUAGGUUUCUAAGGACCUUAUUGAUAUUCCUAGGAAUCACUCGAUUUUCUUUCUUUUUGUUAUUGCCCUCCAUGCAGUGUAAUGGUUGCUACUUAAAUAGG
Molecule: long non-coding RNA, 782 nt
Filed under: Durio zibethinus
Lineage: Eukaryota; Viridiplantae; Streptophyta; Magnoliopsida; Malvales; Malvaceae
Description: long non-coding RNA (DZIB_LNC002130)
Source: RNAcentral